Molecule: long non-coding RNA, 796 nt
Filed under: Cricetulus griseus (Chinese hamster)
Lineage: Eukaryota; Metazoa; Chordata; Mammalia; Rodentia; Cricetidae
Description: lncRNA (ENSCGRG00015040385.1)
Source: RNAcentral
AAGAGAGAAAGACUGGGGUUAGGUCAUUCAUAUGGGAUUCCCCUGUGAUUUACUGUUUGAUUAAUAUUGCCCAAUGAAAGAAUAAUUUUCAGAUUCAACAUAUUGCUUUUCCCAGAAAAUACAUGAAGUGGAUGCCUUCUGUGGGAACAGAGGACAGAGAUUGGUGUACAACUAUCACACUUGCUCUGAAAUUCUUGUCCAGCAUUUGACAAAGAAGACCAGAAACUACCCUGCUGACUCCAUUUUUUCAUAGUUACCCCUUAAAGGAGAAAAAAAUAAAAGCAAUAAUAUAGUGAGCAAUUGGAGAAUAGGAAAUAGAUUUUUGUCUUUAGAGGAGUUGUAAAAUGUGUGGCUUCUCUUCAGAAUUCAGAAGUACACAGGGCAGGGACCCAGCAAUUUCAGCACAGAUUCCAAGGUCACAUUUCUCGUGUAGGUGAAUUUGGACAAAGCACAAUAGGGCUUUAUAUAUGCAGAUAUUUACUGGGUUACAGUUCCUUAGACAUGCCAGUGAUUGUCGAUGACAUUGUCACCAUUCUGAAUGGCAGACAAGUUACUCCUCAGUCCAGUCUCCCCUCCAUCUGUCUACUCACUCACCACCACAGUGUGUCUUGGCUAAUUAUUAUAGCUCUUCAGAUGUUCCCAAGCCCGUUGCACUUUUCUUUAACUCAGUAGUAUUUCUUGCGUACCUGUCAUGUUCUGGAUACUAAUGAGUGGUCAACAUGAUCCAAGUUCCCAUGUGAUUUAUGGUCUAGGAGGGAGAGUAGAUUAAAAUAGCAACCCACUUCUAUCAACAAAU